GGCCGCACCGCCCCCCCCCCCCCCCCCGCUCUGCCCCCCUUCUCCACCAGAUCCACACCCCACCACCUCCCUCGCCGCGCAUGAGCUCCCCCGAGCAGGCCCUCCGACCGGCCGCCGCCGCCCUGCCCCUCGCUGUCUGCUAGGGUUGAGGUCAUUGGCCUUCUCCGUCGCGCCACCUUCCCUCCACUGGCAGGUACAUCUCUCUCUCUCUCUCUGACCGGCUGUGUUCUCUGUAGAUCCGGUUCAGCUCCUCGAGCGGCAAGGUGCUUGCCAAGGAGAAGGAUGCCGGGAAGGUGACCCAGAUCCGGUUCGGCUCCUCCGGUGGCAAGGUGCUCAGCUCCUCCAGCGACAAAGCAGCAAGAUGUUCUCUGUACACGGUUUUGGUUCAGUUUGCAUCUUCAGUACAUACACAUGUUUGGCCCAGUUUGCAUCUGUCCAUUACAGUAGUUUUGUAGUUUUAUUUGACACAAUUUUGAUGGACACAGCAACAAGUUUAUGAGAUACGGUAUGUUCUUCCUUGUGAAGAGAUUUGAUGAUUAAAGAAACAAUUUUGCUCAAUGUUUGACUAUACACACUACUGCUAGUAGAAACUAAUAAGCCAAAUAAUGUGCAAGGUGCUCCGGUGGCAAGUUGCCCCUACUGAUCUCCUCCUCCUCCUCUGCAAGGUGCUCUGGCAGCAAGGUGCCUCUGCUGGUCUCCUCCUCGUCUGCAAAAACAACAACAACAACCAGGACAUGCAUUAUUUUGAAGACGGGACCGUUGUUGCGGGGCUUCUUUUUGGAGGGACAACUGGCACCGAGCCACUCAAUACAUUUAUGGGAUUAAGUAUCUCCCGCUUGUCAAAGAAACCGGAAGGGGGUGGAUCAACGAAGGUGCUAGCUUGAGGAUUGAUGUAUACGGUGGGAAGUUCAAACAACAUAACGGGCCUGACUCUGAUCCGGCCUCAUAGGACAUUGACACUAUGAUUUCCGUCUAGUCGGGACAAGGCAAGAAGGGUGGCCGGUUAUACAUCGGCCACGGCGCCAUUCGGAAGAAGGGCAUUCCGAAACUCUCCCACCUCCGUGCUACCGCGUCGAGUUCAGGUCCUGCUAUAGAGCGUUGCCCACAGCCUGGGUUACACAUGCUCCAUCAAUUCGAGGCCCACCUAGAGGAAGAAACCAGGUUGCGGCAGGAGGCUUAUGCCAAUGUCGUGCUUCAACAAGAGCAAGCCAUGAAAAUGCAGCAAGCUCUAUUUCAACAGCAGGAAUUCAAGGCUAGACUACAGGCGGCCUUGCAGGAGACAUUCGCUCAGUUCAGAACUAAUAUGCAGGGUUCCACUUUGUCGGAUCUUCCCUCACUUCCACCUCUUCCUACUUUUAAAUUUUUAAGUCUUCCAACUUCUAGACCAUGCAUCUUACCAUCCUGCUUAAAGAUCAUGCAUCUUACAUCACCGUCUCGUGCUUGAAGUUUUCUCAGUCAGGACAAGGCAUCAAUAACAGUGUGGUAGGUGGAUCUACACCUGGCCAAGCAAGCCCAGUGACACCCACUACGACUUAUGUCGCUUUGACCUCCCCGCAACAAUGAUCACUCGAGGUAGUUGUUUAUGAGCGUGUCUGGUUAGUGGCCUGGCCGCUGCACGCCUGGCCUGGGCUCUGCCUGAAACCUGCCUGGUAUUUGUUUGGAUUGUAUCCUGAAAAACAAGAUGUCUUCCUGGCGUGGGACUCCUAUCAAUAUGAUUAGCCUGGCCCUAGACUAAAAAGUAGAAGAAAGUAAAAUACUCAGCCCAGGCAACAUGAUUAGCCUGGCCGAGGCAUACUUUUUCCACCGCCUGGCCAUCUGCCUGGAAGUAACGACCAGCCAUGAGCAGUACUACUCAUUGAGUAAAAUAUCUUUAAGCACUAAAUGACAAAAUGGCCAUUCAGGAAAGGAACCAAACACAUGAUCCCAGGCAAGCCUGGUCAGGAAGAAAAAGCUCACCAUCCCAGGCUCAUUUUAGGCAGCCGUUUUUACCAGGCACAAUGUC
This is a long non-coding RNA of Triticum aestivum (bread wheat), 2002 nucleotides long. RefSeq lists it as uncharacterized. NCBI's taxonomy places the organism in Eukaryota, Viridiplantae, Streptophyta, Magnoliopsida, Poales, Poaceae. The record is from RefSeq and is a predicted model, not a curated record. The transcript has 3 exons.